Rhinopithecus roxellana (golden snub-nosed monkey) is the source of this 637-nucleotide RNA transcript. It is a transcript of the gene named DNA-directed RNA polymerases I, II, and III subunit RPABC1 pseudogene, with no coding region annotated. Lineage: Eukaryota; Metazoa; Chordata; Mammalia; Primates; Cercopithecidae. The record is from RefSeq and is a predicted model, not a curated record. The transcript has a single exon.
CAUGGACAACGAGGAGGAGACGUACCGGCUCUGGAAAAUCCGUAAGACCAUCAUGCAGCUGUGCCACGAACGUGGCUACCUAGUGACCUAGGACGAGCAUGACCUCACACUGAAGGAGUUCAAAGCCCAGUUUGGGGACAAGCCAAGUGAGGGGCAGCAGUGGUGCAAGGACCUUACCGCACUGGUGGCCCACAACGAUGACCUCACCGACCAGAUGUUUGUGUUCUUUCCAGAGGAGCCCAAGGUGGGCAUCAAGACCGUCAACGUGUCCUGCCGGUGCCUGCAGCAGGAGAGCCUCACACGGGCCCUCAUCGUGGCGCAGCAGGGCAUGAGGCCCUCCGCCAAGCAGUCCCUGGUCGACAUGGCUCCCAAGUACAUCCUAGAGCAGUUUGUGCAGCAGAAGUUGCUCAUCAACAUCACAGAACAUGAGCUAGUAGUCUCUGAGUACGUCAUCAUGACCAAGGAGUGGGUGACAGAGCUGUUGGCCCGAUAUAAGCUCUGAGAGAACCAGCUGCCCAGGAUCCAGGCGGGGGACGCCGCGGAGCACUAUUUUGGGAUAAAGGAUGGGCAGGUGGUGAAGAUUGCCCAACACAGCUAGAUGGUGGGCAGGUACCUCACCUACGGGUUGGUGCAGUAA